AAGACAGCUGAAUGAUAGUCGGGCUGAAGACUCUACUUGACUAGCUGAGAGGAGGUGCAUGGCCGUCGUCAGUUCGUACUGUGAAGCAUCCUGUUAAGUCAGGCAACGAGCGAGACCCACGCCAACAGUUGCCAGCUCGUCCUCCGGGGAUGGUGGGGACACUGUUGGGACCGCCUCUGCUAAAGAGGAGGAAGGAAUGGGCAACGGUAGGUCAGUAUGCCCCGAAUAUCCCGGGCUACACGCGAGCUACAAUGGUUGGUACAAUGGGUAUCUACCCCGAAAGGGGACGGGAAUCUCCUAAAACCAAUCUUAGUUCGGAUUGAGGGCUGCAACUCGCCCUCAUGAAGCUGGAAUCCGUAGUAAUCGCGUUUCAACAGAACGCGGUGAAUACGUCCCUGCUCCUU
Molecule: ribosomal RNA, 404 nt
Filed under: uncultured Methanolinea sp.
Lineage: Archaea; Methanobacteriati; Methanobacteriota; Methanomicrobia; Methanomicrobiales; Methanoregulaceae
Description: bacterial SSU rRNA
Rfam family: Archaeal small subunit ribosomal RNA
Source: RNAcentral